UACGUAGGUGCGAGCGUUAAUCGGAAUUACGUGGGACGUAAAGCGUGCGCAGGCGGUUAUGUAAGACAGUUGUGAAACGUCCCCGGGCUCAACCGUGGGAAUUGCAUCUGUGACUGCAUAGCUAGAGUACGGUAGAGGGGAUGGAAUUCCGCGUGUAGCAGUGAAAUGCGUAGAUAUGCGGAGGAACACCGAUGGCGAAGGCAAUCCCCUGGACCUGUACUGACGCUCAUGCACGAAAGCU
Molecule: ribosomal RNA, 241 nt
Filed under: uncultured bacterium
Lineage: Bacteria
Description: partial 16S ribosomal RNA
Rfam family: Bacterial small subunit ribosomal RNA
Source: RNAcentral